GCCCAUCUAGCUCAGUCGGUAGAGCGCAAGGCUCUUAACCUUGUGGUCCUGGGUUCAAGUCCCAGGGUGGGCG
Molecule: transfer RNA, 73 nt
Filed under: Ipomoea nil (Japanese morning glory)
Lineage: Eukaryota; Viridiplantae; Streptophyta; Magnoliopsida; Solanales; Convolvulaceae
Rfam family: tRNA
About the family: Transfer RNA (tRNA) molecules are approximately 80 nucleotides in length. Their secondary structure includes four short double-helical elements and three loops (D, anti-codon, and T loops).
Source: Rfam by way of RNAcentral